AUUACCAGGCGCUCCGUAAAUGUUGUUUGCACCCAGUGUCUGCAUCGAGGACUUUCCUCUCAUCGCCAUUAUGCUGUUGCGACGACCCUCGAACGCCUUGAACGCCUUCGUCGAACGACGCGUCGACAUGUUCCGUGGUAAUCCUGAAACAAAUCGCAACCAAUUUCAAAAUCAACAAACAGCUCACCGUUGCCUUCGGCCAUACUGAAGAAACGUUGCCGGAACGCGACGUCCAGGGUAUUGAUGGCUUGAGUCUUCCUGCGACUCUUUUCAAGAUUUCUGAUUGUUUUCCGUCUUCCCGGACCACUGCCGCUGCCUUCAUCGUAAUCGCCCUCCAUGCCGUCGAGACGCUGCAGAUCGCGAACUAUUUCGACAGCGUGCUUCGAUAGAAGAGCCUCUUCAGAAAGAUCCUUCGACUAGAAAGAACCAGAGAAUCGAUUAUGCGGUGCUCGAAGGAAAACGUCCGGAGUAAAAAUAAAAAAUUAUUUGUACAAACUCUCACUUCUCCGGUGAAACUUUCUCACCUUUUUACAGCAGUACCAAUCGAGAACGGUACUAGCAAGGAUGUGAGCCAAAGUGCCGAACCGAUGGAAAAGCAUAGCCGUAAAUUGUAUGACCAGAAUGAGAGCGAAAAAGAAAACGAAAACGAGACCAAUAGGUUCGAGUUGAACGGUUAAACCAGUGAAAUAAAAAGAAAGAGAAAUAGAGAGGCAGAAAGUUAAAAAAGAGAGAAAAACGAGGCCGGUGUGCCGGUACCUCUGCAGUUUCCUCAACGAAGGUGAUGUUCGUCUUGAUGCCGAGAGGCCACACAACGUGAAGCUGAUCUUUGUUCAACUGUAGGUCUUCGCCGAUGGCUCCGAGAUGAUCAGCUGCCCGAGAACCAACGGAGGAAGCUCUUCGACGACCGGAUGAAUGACCGUGGGGAUCCACAGCUCUGUAUUCGGGGACGAAGAUUUGACAAGGCGGAUGAAAUUGUGUUCGAACGCUGAACGUUUAUAAAUUUUCGACUUUUCAAGUAGCUUGGAAGAUUGCCAAACGAUUUUUCAUGAUUCUAUAUAAGAAUUUAAAAAAAUUUCUAACUCUCCGGAAAGUUCCGAAGACUUUUGAGUUGUUGGAAAGUUGAGUUACGUUUUCACACACCUCUCGAUAGUUUCUAAUCGUUUUCCAAGUUGUUCCAACGACUCUGCUAUCGCAACGAGUUGUUGUUUUUCAUCGGAAGGUUGGUCGUGGGUGCAGAGCAUACAUUUGAACAAUCCAGCCAGGGAUAUUUCUAUGGAACCUUGAUUAUCGCCGUUGUUGCCUGCGCCGUUUUGCAGGAAGCCGAGAAGCGACUUUUGCUUCGCUUUUCGUUUAGCCUCUUCGGCCUCUUUCUUUUCUUGCUCGAGUUCCUAACGAGAGAGCGCAUAAGACUCGUAUCCGUUAAUUGUUCACAGAGUGUUUCAGUAUUUCCGGUUAGUUUGUGCAAAUUUGUGAGAAGCAGUGAAAAAGUCGGUUCCGAAGAGAUCAUUCGCGCGAUUGUGCCAACGCUUGGUCGAGUCAAUACCAAAUUUUCAAAGUUCUUUCCUCAAGAAAAUCGAGCAAAAAUCUCUUCGGGUUGUGAUUAAUCUUGCUUUGUUAAUUACCGCAGCGGACAGCCGAGUUUUCACCUCCCUCGUGCCCCACGUGAUAUCAUUGAGAUUGAAGAGCGAAUAUAUUAUUAGUAUGCAGUACAUCGAGGGUACGGUUAUGUAGUAAAUUAUGCCGUAAAUUAGACAUCCCAUUUCACGGGGAUGCAAAGCGGCGGUGACGGUCAAUUGGAAGGCAACGAAAAAAAGGAACAUGCUUGAUGGCGCUGUGAAACCAUCCUCGACUAUGUUUAUCGAUAUCGCCGUCGCAACGACUACCAUCACGAGGCCGUAGACAACGCUUAUCACCGCGGCUGCAAAUACCUGUUUUCAUGAUAUUAUUUUAAUUUAUAUUUUUCAGAAAUUCGAACAAAGGCUCAAGCUUUCUACGACCCUGAAUACAUUGACGUGAAAUUUGGGAUAGAAGUACGUUUGAGAAGUCCGCAGACGAACCUAACACAAGCUAACUAACCAUUUCCAGAAGCCAUUUUUGAAGGAUAAAAAGCAACACAGUGGUCAAAAAUUGGUCGACUAAAAAUGAUAUUCUGGUGAAAAUCAUUCAUCCGGAAAGUCUUGGAAGGGAAGCAGGGAACCGACCACCACAGGAAAUAUCUUCCUCCAUCCUCGACCCUCAGUUUCUUGAGCAUUUCUCCAAGAACAAACCUUCUUCGUUUUCUUCACUGCAACCUCUCUCGUACCCCACGAAACAACGUUCAAAUUGAUGAUCGAGUACAAUAUGAGAAGCAAAUACAUGGACGGGAUUGACAAAAGAUAAAUGAUGCCUGGUACGAUACACCAAAAUUCUUGGGGAUGAAGACAAGCCGCUAUCACGAACGAACUCACAAACAUGAACAGGAGAAUUGGAAUGAUGUUGUAAUAGAAGCUCGUCCAAUUGUCGAUUUUGAAGGCAGCUACGAAGGCUCCCACCAACAUAAGAAAUAUCGUUCCUGGUCCAAGGAUCGUACCGCCUAUUGUUUUCUUAGCGUCCAUAAGAAGAUCCAUGAUAUUGGCCAAUGUUGAGGGGACCCAACGACGACGUUGGUUGUAAAAUUCGUUGAAACCUUCAGGAGCAUGAGUGUAGGCAUCACUGGCAGCUGAAUAUUCGACCUUGAAAACAAAAAUUGAUAAAAUGGCUUGUUUGAUGCUGUAAGAAAAUGUGAAUCGAUUGAGCCGAGAGAACUCACUCGAUAUCCACGCUGCAACAGAAGUGUGCAGAGCCAACGAUCCUCCCCUUGAUCGUACUGCACGUAAUGUCUCGCUUCCUCGGAUCUCGUCGUAUAUUUCUUCAUGACGUUGUCGUCCAUCAGAGCCUUGCCUCUGAAGAGGGAAAAACAACCGGGACUACAGAGCACACAACCGAUCAUGUGCUCCGUCGCUUUUUGAAGCCAAUGACCAAUCGCGUACUCAAACAUUUGGUACCAAACCAUCGGACCUUAGGAAAAAACAAAAAAUCGAGAAAAUUCUAUUACAUUAAAAUGUAAAAUCUUCGCGCAUUCAGUCGAUUUUUGCAACAAAUUUGAAAAAAUAUCCAUUGAAAAAUGGGAUUACGGGUUUGACAUUUAUUUUGACGUACCUGAUCCUACUGGAUGGAUGCGCCCACAAGCGGCGCCGAGAUUUUUAUUCUUUUUCAUAAGAUCGACUAACAGUUUGACCGCAGCUGGCUGGAAAUCAAUGUCGCCGUCCAAUGUCAACAAAUACGUAUUUUCGGCUAUUACUUCUUUGCGGUCGACACUUAUUGGUUGUUCCAUAAGACGAUGCCCUAGCAAGUAGUACAUGUACAUGACCUGCGAAAACCAAAAGAUGAUUCAACGUUAGAAAGCAGCAGAAAGUACAGGCAACGUCCAGACCAGUCGACCACCGUAAGGUGUUGGAUAUUUUUUCGGUGCUCGCACGUGCAUUCUCGUCUGAUGAACGUCCGAAGCUGCUUCGUCCAGGGUGCCUACCAGUAGUUUCACGAAUCUAUUCACCUGGGAUUCGUUUUCGUCGUGGUCGCUGAGCUCGAAAGCAUCAUCGAAGAAUAUGCCCAUCGACUGGUCGAUCAACAAAGAGUCGUACAUCGGCACGACGAACAAUUUCUCAGUAGCUGCGAGUCUCUCGCAUUUCGGUGUCCAGAUAUGCAGAGUGAUCCACGUCUGCGACAAAAGCCAAAGGAGCCAAAUCCAAGCGUAUUGUUUCGAAAUGAAAUCAUUGAGGAAAUUGGGGUCCUCCGGUGACUGGAAUGAGAGAUAGUCGGGAAUGGUGCCGUGGAAAAAGCAUGGAUCGCCUUCGCGAAUUCCGACGGCCGCGAUGAGCAGGGAAAUCGUCACAGGGAUCGGAAAAUACGAAUUCUGGCUUCUUCAACGCACCAAUCGGACUCUGAAGCGACACGUAGUUUUCCCACCAGCCGCACGAUACCAGGAACAACGAGGGUGGUAUCAACCAUAAAGAAGGCUCAGAGCUGGUCAACAAUGGCCAAACCACGAAUCCCGUUGCUUGUGCUGCUAACGCAGCAAGAUCGACCAACACGAGGACGCAUCUUCUUGAUUGAUCUUUGCUCUUAUUUCGAGAAAGCAAACCUGCCCAAAUGUCAUGUAACAGUAGAUUUUAGGAGGAUGGAAUUGAGAGUUAAAAAUCUUGGAGUCGUGAGGCCAAAAUGACGAUCGAAUGAAUCAUUGUUGAGGAAAAAACGGUUGUGAAAAGUGGAGAGGAAUUUUAAAAAUAAUAUUUUUUAAUGGAACGUGGCAAGUGUCUCUGUGUCCAGGAAACUUUUAGUGUUUUCAUACGGACUGAAGUAGCUGAAAAUCUGAUUGAAAUGGCUUUCGAAAAAAGCUCGUAAUUUCAUAACAGAAAAGGUAUAACUCACCAAGAAAACCUGGCACGAAACACACGCAAUUUGUUAACAUGGCACCUCUGACGACAUCGAGUUCAGGCAAUACUGCAAAGAACAUUAGCGCGAGACCAACAACGUGGAAUGUUUCCAUUACGAAUACCAGAAGAAAGUGCGACGACAAAGGCUUCUUCCACGAUUUGAAAAUGCAUAUUCUCAAACUUCUUAUAAAAGUACCAACUUCGGGCACUACGAAUGCGAUUAUUAUGCACCACAUCCACGCUAUUCUUUCCUCAUCCGCUUGCGGAGCAUUUAAUAGAAGGAUUAGUUUCGCCAUCGACGGAUGUCGAAAAAACCAUCAGAAAGUUGAAUUUUGUCGUUAAAAUGAGUUUGAAGAAAAAAAUAAUCAGAAUUAUCCUAUCUGCAUCGAGGCUCCACAAAUUUCUCAAAUAAUAAAAACAACGAAUAAUUCAGUAAUUUAUGAUUUCGACACACGAUGAGACAACAGGAACAGAGAAUGUUUUUUCAAAUAUUUCGAUGGAUAUUUGAGUUCAGAAUGAAAACGGUCGUCACAUUUAGUGCUCUUCGACUCGAGGAAAAUGGCGAGUGAUUUUUUAAAAAUUUCUGUCCCCUCAAAAGUUUCAGACUUUCAAUUUUUCGUUUCCAAAGAUUUCCAUUGUACCAAACAUUCGAAUUGUAGACUUUUAGGCUUUUCUUCGAAAAAAUGGUGACGCUUACCCAGCUGUUUGUUACAGUAGGCGAUUUGCCGACCCGCUUUCAGUUGCGAGGUCAUGAAGAGAAUUGUGCCUUUGGCAAUGACUCCGCAUCCGAGGACAAUUAUAAAGACGAGGAGGUAGACGAUAACUUUCGUUAUUUGAACUGUGACGUCGAAGCAUUUCUGAUUCGCCAUCGAUCCCGAAUCGAUUUUCGGGGGUGGAUCUCUGAACACGUCCCAUCCUUUCGUCUCGACGAGUGUCCUUUGACUGAUGAACAUUCGAAAGUUUUAUCUCACUCCAAAGUCAAGUGUCUUGAAUCUCAACAAUAUUCAUUUUCGCCAAAGUAUUCCUCACGUUUCAUCUUUCAAAGAGAUUUCGUAAUGACGCUUUUUUACCUGCCGCCAUAAGCUUGCGUCAACGGAGUCGCGUCGUCGUCUGAAAAAUCAUCGGUUGGAUCGACUCCUCCACCGGGCACAACACCGUUUUGUUGCAUUUUCGACAUUUUCCCGAAAUAUUUUUUUCCUGUGAUACGAAAGUCAAACGAAUUAUACCGAGAAACGAAUGAUCCGUCACAAAUAAAUACGCGAAUCGUCAAAAGUUGCGACAUCGCUCGAAAAAUAUUCAAUCUCAUUGAAAUUACCGCGUUCGCUUAGCAAACUUCAAACGCAAAAUAUGAGCGUAAGCACGCGAACAUUAUUUCGGAGUAAAACCACGUAAUCGUCGCACUAAUGAAAUUAUCGUUCUAGUAAUAAAUUAUUCCAAUCAUCAAAACUGAAAUCAUCAAAUUAUUAAUGAAUCCUUCAACAAAACCGAGGCAAAAUGCCACUAAUCGUUUUGCCCAAAUGCCUGUUUUCGUAACGUAUAACAUAAAAAUUGAAGUGCAUGAGAAAUGAAUCGAUUAGGGAAAAAUCAAGUGGAAAGAUUCCCGCGUUGUCGACAAAACCCCCAGAAUAAAUGGAAAUCGUUUAUUCGCACUAGAAAAUAAAACAUUAAGGUGGUUCCUCCA
This is a long non-coding RNA of Venturia canescens, 6132 nucleotides long. RefSeq lists it as uncharacterized. The transcript has 12 exons. The record is from RefSeq and is a predicted model, not a curated record. Lineage: Eukaryota; Metazoa; Arthropoda; Insecta; Hymenoptera; Ichneumonidae.